This 948-nucleotide non-coding RNA is filed under the name Marmosa murina (murine mouse opossum). RNAcentral describes it as "12S ribosomal RNA". It matches the Rfam family "Bacterial small subunit ribosomal RNA". The record is from RNAcentral. Lineage: Eukaryota; Metazoa; Chordata; Mammalia; Didelphimorphia; Didelphidae.
AAAGGUUUGGUCCUAGCCUUACUGUUAAUUCUAAUUAGACCUACACAUGCAAGUUUCCGCAAUCCUGUGAGAAUGCCCUUAAAACUAAAUAAGAUAAAAGGAGCUGGUAUCAGGCACACUAAGAGUAGCCUAUUACACCUUGCUUAACCACACCCACACGGGAAACAGCAGUGACUAAUAUUAAGCUAUAAACGAAAGUUUGACUAAGUCAUAAUUAUUUAGGGUUGGUAAAUUUCGUGCCAGCCACCGCGGUCAUACGAUUAACCCAAAUUAACAAGACACGGCGUAAAGAGUGUUUAAAUCAAUAUAUAAAUAAAGUUAAUACUUAACUAAACUGUAGUACGUACUAGUUAAUACCAAAAUAAAUGAUAAAAAUGACUUUAAAAUUGUUGACACACGACAACUAAGAAACAAACUGGGAUUAGAUACCCCACUAUGCUUAGUUAUAAACUAAGAUAACUUAAUAACAAAGUUAUUCGCCAGAGAACUACUAGCUACCGCUUAAAACUCAAAGGACUUGGCGGUGCCCUAAACCCACCUAGAGGAGCCUGUUCUAUAACCGAUAAACCCCGAUAAACCCAACCCUAUCUUGCCAAUACAGCCUAUAUACCGCCAUCGUCAGCCCACCUUAAAAAAGUCACAAUAGUAAGCAAAAUUAUUAACCAUAAAAACGUUAGGUCAAGGUGUAGCAUAUGAUAUGGGAAAGAAAUGGGCUACAUUCUCUACUUUAGAGCAUAAACGAAUCACAUUAUGAAACUAAAGUGCCUGAAGGAGGAUUUAGUAGUAAAUUAAGAAUAGAGUGCUUAAUUGAAAUAGGCAAUAGGGCGCGCACACACCGCCCGUCACCCUCCUCAAUUAAACUUACUUAUAUAACUAAUUAAUUAAUUAAACCUAAAGAGGAGAAAAGUCGUAACACGGUAAGUGUACUGGAAAGUGCACUUGGAAUAU